AGGCCUGCGGGUUGUAAAGCACUUUCAGKAGAGAAGAAAAGCCUGAGGUUAAUACCCUCGAGUCUUGACGUAACCUACAGAAGAAGCACCGACUAACUCCGUGCCAGCAGCCGCGGUAAUACGGAGGGUGCGAGCGUUAAUCGGAAUUACUGGGCGUAAAGCGCGCGUAGGCGGUUGUGUGAGUCAGAUGUGAAAGCCCCGGGCUUAACCUGGGAAUGGCAUUUGAUACUGCAUAGCUAGAGUUUGGUAGAGGGGAGUGGAAUUCUCGGUGUAGCGGUGAAAUGCGCAGAUAUCGAGAGGAACACCAGUAGCGAAGGCGGCUCACUGGGCCGGUACAGACGCUGAGGUGCGAAAGUGUGGGGAGCGAACGGGAUUAGAUACCCCGGUAGUCCACACCGUAAACGAUGGACACUAGAUGGUGGGAGCAUUACCCUCUCACUGUCGUAGCUAACGCAUUAAGUGUCCCGCCUGGGGAUUACGGCCGCAAGGUUAAAACUCAAAGAAAUUGACGGGGGCCCGCACAAGCGGUGGAGUAUGUGGUUUAAUUCGAUGCAACGCGAAGAACCUUACCUGGGCUUGACAUCCCGCGCUACCCUUGGAAACUAGGGGUUCUCUUCGGAGACGCGGUGACAGGUGUUGCAUGGCUGUCGUCAGCUCGUGUCGUGAGAUGUUGGGUUAAGUCCCGCAACGAGCGCAACCCCCGCCAUUAGUUGCCAGCAU
Molecule: ribosomal RNA, 720 nt
Filed under: uncultured bacterium
Lineage: Bacteria
Description: bacterial SSU rRNA
Rfam family: Bacterial small subunit ribosomal RNA
Source: RNAcentral